AGAGCGCAAGGGGAAUGCCUUGGCAUCAGGAGCCGACGAAGGACGUGACAAGCUGCGAUAAGCUUCGGGGAGGAGCAAAUAUCCUAUGAUCCGGAGAUUUCCGAAUGGGGAAACCCACUGGAGCAAUACUCCAGUAACGUGCAUUGAAUCAAAUAGGUGUACGUGGGGAACCGCCUGAACUGAAACAUCUAAGUAGGGCGAGGAAAAGACAUCAACCGAGAUUCCGCUAGUAGUGGCGAGCGAACGCGGAGGAGGCCAAACCGGAGGAUUUAUUCUCCGGGGUUCGGACUUGCAUCACGAUCAGAGGAGCCUAAAAGAACGGCAUGGGAAGGCCGGCCACAGAGGGUGAGAGCCCCGUAUUUGAAAGGUGAAGCUGACAGCGAGUAUCCAGAGUACCGCGGGACACGAGGAACCCCGUGGGAAAACGGGUGGACCACCAUCCAAGCCUAAAUACUACCUGAUGACCGAUAGAGGAGCAGUACCGUGAGGGAAAGGUGAAAAGGACCCCGGGAGGGGAGUGAAAGAGAACCUGAAACCUUGUGCUUACAAGCACUCAAAGCACGUUAAAGUGUGAUGAGGUACUUUUUGUAGAACGGUCCGGCGAGUUAUAGUAACGAGCAAGCUUAAGGUAUUCAGUACCGGAGGCGAAGCGAGAGCGAGUCUGAAUAGGGCGUAAAAAGUUCGUUGCCAUAGACCCGAAACCGGGUGACCUAACCAUGAGCAGGCUGAAGUGAGAGUAAAAUCUCAUGGAGGGCCGAACGCACGUUCGUUGCAAUGACCGGCGAUGACUUGUGGUUAGCGGAGAAAUUCCAAUCGAACUCGGAGAUAGCUGGUUCUCCCCGAAAUAGCUUUAGGGCUAGCGUUAUCUUAGAUUACCGGAGGUAAAGCACUGAAUGGGCUAGGGGGCGAUAAGCUUACUGAACCCUAUCAAACUCAGAAUGCCGGCUAAUUGAUGGAUAGCAGUCAGACAGUGUGAGAUAAGUUUCAUUGUCAAAAGGGAAACAGCCCAGACCCACAGCUAAGGUCCCUAAUGCAUGCUAAGUGGAAAACGAUGUGGAAUUGCGAAAACAACCAGGAUGUUGGCUUAGAAGCAGCCACUCAUUAAAAGAGUGCGUAAUAGCUCACUGGUCGAGUGACUCUGCGCGGAAAAUAUAACGGGGCUAAGCAUGCAACCGAAGCUUGGGAUUGUCUAAAGACAGUGGUAGGGGAGCGUCGUGUACGGGGUGAAGUCGCAUCGGAAGGAGCGGUGGACUGUACACGAGUGAGAAUGCCGGAAUGAGUAGCGAGAAUUAUGUGGGAAUCAUAAUGGCCGAAAAUCUAAGGUUUCUUGGGGAAGGUUCGUCCGCCCAAGGUUAGUCGGGAGCUAAGCUCAGGCCGAAAGGCGUAGGCGAUGCACAUACGGUAGAAAUUCCGUAACCACCGAACAUUUAAGCUAGAGGGACGCUUUCAUUAAGUCUAUCCCGGGCGAUGGUUGCCCCGGGCGUAAGGGACCGAAAUUUAGUAGGGAAGUAGACGGCGUGAGAGACGAGAAAAGCUCUAGUGUAUACUAAGGUGCCCGUACCGCAAACCGACACAGGUAGAUGGGAUGAGUAUUCUAAGGCCAACGGGAGAAGGGUUGUUAAGGAACUCGGCAAAUUGGCCCCGUAACUUCGGGAUAAGGGGCGCCUGCGAGAGCAGGCCGCAGUGAAAAGGCCCAAGCGACUGUUUAGCAAAAACACAGCUCUCUGCUAAAUCGAAAGAUGACGUAUAGGGGGUGACGCCUGCCCGGUGCUGGAAGGUUAAGGGGAGUGCUUAGCGCAAGCGAAGGUGCGAACUUAAGCCCCAGUAAACGGCGGCCGUAACUAUAACGGUCCUAAGGUAGCGAAAUUCCUUGUCAGGUAAGUUCUGACCCGCACGAAUGGCGUAAUGAUUUGGGCACUGUCUCGACAGCCCGCCCGGCGAAAUUGUAGUACUGGUGAAGAUGCCAGUUACCCGCAACUAGACGGAAAGACCCCAUGGAGCUUUACUGCAGUUUAAUACUGGGAAUCGGUAAUGCAUGUACAGGAUAGGUGGGAGACUAGGAAGCAUGGUCGUCAGGUCAUGUGGAGUCACCGGUGGGAUACCACUCUUGUAUUGCUGAUUUCCUAACCUGCGGCCGUGAAUCCGGUCGGGGGACACUGUUAGACGGGCAGUUUGACUGGGGCGGUCGCCUCCAAAAGAGUAACGGAGGCGCUCAAAGGUUCGUUCAGCACGGACGGAAAUCGUGCAUUGAGUGUAAACGCAUAAACGAGCCUAACUGCGAGACCGACGGGUCGAGCAGUAACGAAAGUUGGAGUUAGUGAUCCGGUGGUAUGUGAGUGG
Molecule: ribosomal RNA, 2340 nt
Filed under: human gut metagenome
Description: bacterial LSU rRNA
Rfam family: Bacterial large subunit ribosomal RNA
Source: RNAcentral